CUGAAAUUGGGAUUUUGAAGACAGGCUCACCCAUGUCCCUUGCAGCAUAAUUCACCAUAGCAAAGAUGUGGAAGUAACCUGGGUGUCACAGACAGAUGAAUGGAUAAAGAACGGAGUGUUUUUCCACCUUAAAAGGAAGCAGAUCCUCUCAAUCCAUUUGCGAUGGUGUGGUCGGACCUGGAGGGCAGUGUUCUGUUAGGAGAAAUAAGCCAGACAUUGAUGUAAUACUGUCUGAUGUCACUUCUGUGGAAUCUAAAGUGGUCAAACUACAAGCAGAAUGGUGGUCACCUGGAGCAACGAGGAGCAGGUGAUGAGGUGAGGCUUAAACGGUACCAAGUUUGAGUGACACAAAAUGAAAAAGUUCUGCAGACCUAUGUAGCAUAAUGCCUGUUACUAACAAAACUGCUUUAAAUUUGCCAAAAGGGUACAUCUUUUGUUAAAUGUUCUCAACCAAAAAUGCCAAUUCAAGAAACAGUAAUAAAUGGAGCAGGAGGAACCUUCAGGAGGUGAUGGAUGUGUUUAUCAUGCUGGUGGUGGCAGUGACCUCACUAGUGU
RNAcentral lists this long non-coding RNA (555 nucleotides) under Marmota monax (woodchuck). Lineage: Eukaryota; Metazoa; Chordata; Mammalia; Rodentia; Sciuridae. The record is from RNAcentral.